UUAAUAACUUCGUUGAUGAUAUUAUCAUCCUUGUCCAUGAUGGUACGUUCAAAGAACCAAUCCAGAGAAUUAUGGACUUCGGAAUAUUCCAACCUUGAACGAAAUUGAGCGACGCAACUCUUAUCUGAAGAUAAGUUCCAUUUUAAAGAAACAGAUACCAUUGAAGAUAGAAGAUGAAUAUUACCACUAGUCAAAUACACCAAACUCCUUGAACUUCUAGUCAAUGUCGAGAGAGUGUACACAAGAAAUUUAAUUUCAGUUUAAACAAGUUGAUGCCAAUUCAUUCCCAUCGAAACGGUGUAAAUGAAAAUAAAUACACUAGCAUUUGGCCACUUAAGUAAAAUAAAUUUAUGGGCAGAUGUUUUAAAUUUGUGAAUGUAAAUUAAAAUUGUAGCACAAAUAUUUUUAAACUCGAAAUUAUGUAUGAUGGAUCGAAACCACUUGUAAUAAAAGCUUUUUUUUUAAAGCAAAAUUGAAUAAAAUACUCAUUAUCGUUC
This is a long non-coding RNA of Mytilus californianus (California mussel), 497 nucleotides long. RefSeq lists it as uncharacterized. The record is from RefSeq and is a predicted model, not a curated record. NCBI's taxonomy places the organism in Eukaryota, Metazoa, Mollusca, Bivalvia, Mytilida, Mytilidae. The transcript is spliced from 2 exons.